UCGAGCGAUGAAGCACCUUCGGGUGUGAAUUAGCGGCGAACGGGUGAGGAACACGUGAGAAAUCUGCCUUCAACACUGGGAUAACUCCGGGAAACCGGGGCUAAUACCGGAUAUGAAAUCUGCGGGCAUCCGCGGAUUUGGAAAGUUUUUCGGUUGAAGAUGAUCUCGCGGCCUAUCAGCUUGUUGGUGAGGUAAUGGCUCACCAAGGCGACGACGGGUAGCCGGCCUGAGAGGGCGACCGGCCACACUGGGACUGAGACACGGCCCAGACUCCUACGGGAGGCAGCAGUGGGGAAUAUUGGGCAAUGGAGGAAACUCUGACCCAGCGACGCCGCGUGCGGGAUGAAGGCCUUCGGGUUGUAAACCGCUUUCAGCAGGGAAGAAGCGAAAGUGACGGUACCUGCAGAA
This 408-nucleotide ribosomal RNA is filed under the name uncultured Actinomycetes bacterium. RNAcentral describes it as "bacterial SSU rRNA". It matches the Rfam family "Bacterial small subunit ribosomal RNA", at positions 62 to 486 of the family's 1533-position model. Lineage: Bacteria; Bacillati; Actinomycetota; Actinomycetes. The record is from RNAcentral.